AUACGUAGGUGGCAAGCGUUGUCCGGAAUGAUUGGGCGUAAAGAGCGCGUAGGCGGAACGAUAAGUCUUAUGUGAAAGAGCGGGGCUUAACCCCGUGAAGGAUAAGAAACUGACGUUCUUGAGGGCAGGAGAGGAAAGUGGAAUUCCCAGUGUAGCGGUGAAAUGCGUAGAUAUUGGGAGGAACACCAGUGGCGAAGGCGGCUUUCUGGACUGCAACUGACGCUGAGGCGCGAAAGCUAGGGGAGAGAACAGGAUUAGAUACCCUGGUAUUCCUAGCCGUAAACGAUGGGCACUAGGUGUGGGAGGUAUCGACCCCUUCCGUGCCGGAGUUAACGCAAUAAGUGCCCCGCCUGGGGAGUACGGCCGCAAGGUUGAA
Molecule: ribosomal RNA, 376 nt
Filed under: uncultured bacterium
Lineage: Bacteria
Description: bacterial SSU rRNA
Rfam family: Bacterial small subunit ribosomal RNA
Source: RNAcentral